AUCUCCUAAUUUCUAGGCAUAUCUCCCCCAUCUCUUCCACUAACCUCCGAAUGUAUGCCCAUAUCUGCCCAAUCCUUAUGCGUGGGGCGGAGCUGCUCUAAAAUCUCCAGUUUCCCAUCGCGGUCAGCAUCUCCCCAGCCCCGGCGGCCGCCCCUUCCGGCGUGGGCGUCCACAUCCCCUUCCUCUUCCUAUUUCUUUGUUGUCGUGGCCUUCCCUUCCGAUGAUGCGGGCUUCUCUUCUCGGCCGAUGCGGUCGUCAGGCUGCGAGGUUAUGAGGAACGUCUUGGCAGUGGUCGCGCCUUCCCCGCGUCCUGGCCGGCGUCUGUAUUGGUGGAGGCGCUUCCGUCGUCUCCCCUCCAUCGUGGCGUCUCAGCCCCAGCAACGGCAGCUUCCUUCGCGCGGGCCGCAGGGUUCUGGGCGCUUCUUCUCUAGCAGCCUUAUCCCGACGGCGGUGGUCAUGGCAUGCUCGCACUCCAGGGCACGCGUGCCGGUCUGGAUCUUCCUCCCCUGCUGCGGCGCCACGGGGAGACGAAGUCCUCCAUCGGUGUACAGGUUCUGUUUUUUCCCAAAUUGAUGUGCUGCUAGGUUAUUUAGCCGAUGAAAGGAAACAAAUUAGAUUUCAUUCUGCGUGAUUGCUGCAGAAGCCAUGUCAAUUUCCAUUCUAGCCAUCAUUUUCAGGGAUGGGUGCAGGUAAUCAUUCUUUCAGAUAUGCAAUUUUCCUAACGUCCUGUGUGACUCAAGUGAUUCUCGUGUGCCACAGUAAUUACUGGCAAGUGGGGUCAAAUAGUACAUAUCAUUUUCCAGUUACUGUCUGGAAAACAUACUCUACAUUUUGCUUACUUACCAUGCCUUGCCCUAUGUUUCCAUUUUCCAAGAACAUGACUUGACAAAAUGACCAGGGUGCAUUCAAACUUAUCUGAUUUCCAUUGAGUAGUCAAAAUCUUCUUGCUUCAUUUUCUUUCCAAGGAAGCUGGAUAGAAAGCUCCACCUAUUAUUUAUCAUCUGGCGUAUUUAUUCCCUGAGAAGAGAAAAGCCUACAUGCUCAAUCACAUUCGGCAUUACAAUAAUAUUUUAGUGUAUUAUUUUUUGCUUGCAAGUGACAUAUAUAUUUCAUUGCAAACCUUGAUCCAUUUACUACUGAACAUUGUUGUUAACUAACCAAUCCACAAAUGCUACAGGUAUUCCCUCCCUUUUUGGGGCAUAUAUUUGCAUAUUUUGAUCAGUUACAUAAGAGAAUGUUGCUUCUCUUCGUGGUUGCAUUUCUCCUGGGUUAUUAUAAUUACUGGAUUGAAUAACAAUGACUGUUGUAUAUCUAGGGAUUUUAUUUUUGAUGAGUUAGUGCACACCUGUGUUCCCCUUUAUCCCUUCCUAUUAUUUAUUGGCAAGUUUCACAAAGCAACCAAGGAGAUCGUUAUUGGCAAUUCACAAUAGAGAGAAACUAUAAAUUAUUAAAUAUUAUUGAAAAUAAAUUCGCAAGAGAUUUAACUACAUUAUCGAGUCCAUUUUAUUGCUUCAGAAGACAAGUGAAAAUUACUUUACAAGUUUGUAAACAGUGAAGCUAUAACAUCAGUAAAUGAUUUUUUUUUGUGUUGCCUCUGAUCUUACCUUAAGGGCAUUGUAUACCUGUAGCAUACAUCCAGGAAACUAUUAUGUGUAUGGAAAUGGAUCAUUUUAGUUAGUGCUGAUCUGUAGCCUCUGAUUUUAAACUGGCCUAAUCUAACUUACUGGUUAGGAAGUAAAACAUAGACAAAAGGUAGCAACAUGGGUGAGCAAGUAAGGUCGUGUCAGGGAUGAUACUGAUAUCAGAUUCAGUGGCCAGGGAAAAGACAAUGGUAGUCAUUUAAAUCAUUUUUGCACACGGAUAAUUACGAAUUAUAAUAUAUCACUACUGUUCCAUUCUAAUGAAAGCUGAGAUGCAUCACUUGUGCAUUAUGUUUCUCAUGAUUAACCCAUUUCUGCCUCUUUCGCUUAGUGAUAAGAAUUUUAAGCUAUAAACCAUGUACUUUCAUACCAGUCCUGCAGCUUCCAAGUGUAUCACUUACUACCACAGCAUGUUUGCCAUACUUGCACGCAUUGCCUCUUAUCUAGGCUUAUGACACUUCCUUUUCUUUUUAUGGCGAGUGGGUUAGUUGACUCAAGUUAAUUUUUCCUGCUCUGGCCUUGGUGACAUACUGACAUAUAAAAAAGCCUUGGCAUGCAGAUUAGUUGAUUCAUGUGAUUUCUCUACGUAUGACUCCUACACAUGUUCUUGAUUUACCUCGCUAUAUAUUUUUUCAUCCAUUGAUUAGAAGUUUAUCCUUCAUGCAAAUAUUUCUUUUUCGUUUGGGACUUAUAGGUUCUCUCUUAUCACAGGUUAUCAACACCCCACCAUCUGUAGUUUGGAGAAAGCUGAAUUUAUUGAAAUUGCUCGGGAAUGGCCAUAUCAUUUACUUUGUUUUCCUUAUCAGUUAUCACAUAUUGAACAGAGUUGCAUGGAUAAGCAUGAGAUAUGCCCUGCAGUUGAAAGCCUGAGGUUGAGCUCAUAUUACCAACUGAUCUUCUUCACCUUGCAGUUGUAAGACUAUAAUCCAUAGCUUCAGUAAGCUUCUUCCAGAAGCUAGCUAGCUUCAGUAAGUUUCAGAUCAGUAAUUAAGCAAUUCUGGUCCGUAAGUGUUCAUAUUACUAAUGAAUCGCGAACUAGGUUACUGGAUUUUGCUAUGUGGCUGCCUUCCUGCCACGGUUUUCCUUUCUAUUUUGCUAAGUGUUGAUUACCUAUUUGGCAUCCUAUAAACAAAUAGUUUCAUAUGCACAUAUAAUUGUAUGGUGAUUGAGAACUCAAGUAAUCUUACUGUUCAAUGUGUUUUUUUCCUUCCUGGGGAGAUAUAUACCUUUUUAUGCCAAACUCCUGAAUGAAUUGUGUUCGACGAUGCAAGAUGGCCACCUCUCACCACGUGCGUCCGGCUGCAGCAGCCAGUAUUUGUUCAAGCCUGACACAUCUUGGAGCCAUGGACUCAACAUGGAUCGACCUGGGCAGUAGUAUAUUUCAGAUCCGGUUCGGGAGCUUCUCCAAGACUUCUGAUUCGUACAUAUGGACUUCUGCGGUGCAUAAUAAUGUUUUGUGGAGACUGUUGUUGUUACCUGUUAUAAAAUGGCUGUACAAAAUUCGUUCAGCCGCAACAUACUUCGUUCAGCCAAAUUUUUCGUUGUCGAGAAGCCAAAGCACCAGAUCCGCUGCGACGAGCCUGCAGACGCCGACACGACUUCUUUGAUGACCAGCUGAAGCCUCAAACCCCCUCCGACCAUCUUGCGGCAGCAGAAGCCAGAAGACAGAGACAGUAGAGGCAUGGCGCAGAUUUUUUCAUUCUCAUCGCAAGAGUCUCAAGCACCAGGUUCCUGCCGAGCCCGCAAGUUUUGCCUUUGAUCUCAACCUCCCCACGGAGGCCCCUGCACCAGGCAAGAACACCAUCUUCGAUAGCUAGCCGAGGCUCCAGCUCGCUUCUGCGGACCCUGCCCUGCAUAGCCUUCCUUGCCUGUGCUUAGUAAACCGGUGAAAACCGUCUGGCUCUGCUAGCAAAAAGAUGAAUCCGUGGGGCCUAGCCUUCCCCACGAAGAACAUGUACUGGGCAUGGUAGACCAGUAGAAAGAUGUAUCGGCGCCGGUUGGCCUCCAGUGUGUAAUGCAUUCUAAAUACGCAGUAGCCCUGCAGCA
Molecule: long non-coding RNA, 3686 nt
Organism: Lolium rigidum
Lineage: Eukaryota; Viridiplantae; Streptophyta; Magnoliopsida; Poales; Poaceae
Exons: 3
Source: RefSeq, a predicted model, not a curated record